This 738-nucleotide ribosomal RNA is filed under the name Triticum aestivum (bread wheat). Its description in RNAcentral is "partial small subunit ribosomal RNA". The record is from RNAcentral. Lineage: Eukaryota; Viridiplantae; Streptophyta; Magnoliopsida; Poales; Poaceae.
AUGCGGCACGGACUACAAGAAAAAGUAGGCGCAGAAAGUGCACACGAUCGCGGUGGACUUGUUAAUCCUCGUCUCCCGGAGACGUGGAUUGCUUCAGGAAGGAUCGGCCGGAGACGUGGAGGUCGCACGUGGCAGCACCACCAGCCCAAUUCAACACUCCCUUGCCCAGCUGCCGCACCGCCACCGCCGCGGACACUCCUACUCGCCUCCCCAGCAAGCCACGCGCGCGUGCUCACUGCUCAGCUCGCAGACCCAGCCAUGGCGACGCCGACUCCGACCCCCACCUCGCCCGCUUCCAUCCGGGCGUCAGGCGGCCCUGGCGCUGGCGACCGAUGGGUGGUCCGCGCCCAGCCGGCGGCGGCCGAGCUGGUGGAGCGGUCGGUGACCACCAUCCGGUUCCUGGCCGUGGACGCGGUGGAGAAGGCCAAGUCCGGCCACCCGGGGCUCCCAAUGGGGUGCGCGCCGCUGGGCCACGUCCUCUUCGACGAGUUCCUCCGCUUCAACCCGGCCAACCACGCCUGGUUCGACCGCGACCGCUUCGUGCUCUCCGCCGGCCACGGCUGCAUGCUCCACUACGCGCUGCUCCACCUCGCCGGAUACCAAGGCGUCACGAUAGAUGACCUGAAAGCUUUCCGGCAGUGGGGGAGCAGAACUCCUGGUCAUCCAGAAAAUUUUGAAACAGAAAUCCUGAGGAGUACAAGGAGAGGUCCUACCAAGCGAUGUUACUUCCAGGAUUAG